UUGUACGGUGCUUCUGUAAUGCCCUGACCAAG
This 32-nucleotide non-coding RNA is filed under the name Syntrophotalea carbinolica DSM 2380. The record is from RNAcentral. Lineage: Bacteria; Pseudomonadati; Thermodesulfobacteriota; Desulfuromonadia; Desulfuromonadales; Syntrophotaleaceae.